RNAcentral lists this long non-coding RNA (1674 nucleotides) under Nicotiana benthamiana. RNAcentral's name for it is "long non-coding RNA (NBEN_LNC013930)". The record is from RNAcentral. Lineage: Eukaryota; Viridiplantae; Streptophyta; Magnoliopsida; Solanales; Solanaceae.
AUGGAUUAAGGACUGCUCUUCUUACAACAUUAGAGAGCAAUACCUAGCUAAUUUUGGUAAGGAAUUGCACUUUAAUUAGCUUCUAUAAUUAUCAUUCAAGAAAAAGAAACCUCCUCUGGGAUUAAGAACUGAAGAUGGAUUAAGGACUGCUCUUCUUACAACAUUAGAGAGCAAUACCUAGCUAAUUUUGGUAAGGAAUUGCACUUUAAUUAGCUUCUAUAAUUAUCAUUCAAGAAAAAGAAACUACUAAAUAACCUUGGUGAUUAUUUAGCUCAAAGUUGUCGUGUAUUUUGCAAGCAUAAAACAACAACAAUAACAACCCAGUAUAAUCCCAUUUAGUGGGAUCUGGGGAGGGUAGUAUGUAUGCAGAACUUACCCCUACCCUGGGGUUGAGAGACUGUUUCCAAAUAGACCCCCAGUAUCCUUCCCUCCCAGAACUUCCCACAUUGCUCUUGGGGAGACUCGAACUCACAACCUCUUGGUUGGAAGUUGGGGUUGCUUACCAUCAGAGCAACCCCUCUUGUCUUAAAACAAUAAAAUCAAAUUGAGGGCCAACCAUAACAGAUCUUAAUAACCAAAAGACCAAAGGAAAAUUGCAAGAGACAAUAGUUAUUUGUUAAGGAGAGGAGGGUAGAGAUCUUUUAUUGAUAAUAUCGAUUCGGUCUGCCUCUCCGUGGAGAGGUUCAGAGCCUUACAAUCAUAUUCUCUCUUUUCUAGGGAAGAGUCGUGAAGAAGAAGAAGCAGCACUCUUUAGGAUUCUUUCUCUUAGUAUUUAUAACUGUGCACCUUGCCAGCUGGCGUUGGACGGCCGUGGUCAUUUCGGGGGGACGCCCGCCAAUAGUGAAUAGGCCGUGGCCUCAUUGAUUAAGCUGAGUGAUCUUCGAGUGCUUGUUAUUAACGAAUAGUUAUGCCAUUUGUUAGCCCAAAUAUGCUUAGGUGCCAAUUAAUCUUAUUAAUUAUCUCGAGUCAAAGUUUGACCCAUAGAGUCAUGUUAGGUAGAGUACGUACAUGCUUUGAAUCUUCAAUCAUUCAAUUUCUUUUUCUAAUUAGAGUAUAUAGUUUCCAUCUUCAUCAGCCCAGCUUUUGGAUGAUCACUUCUCUUUCUGGUCUUUGUAGUUUAUACUGCCUGGCCUGUUUCUAUCGUUGCUUUUCAUUUUUUUUGGUGCGGGUCAAUCGAAAAAUAGUCUCUUUAACACAUCCUCUUAAUUAAAGAUGCGAAACCAACUGUACGUCAUCAUUGUAUUGCUUCUUAUAUGUUAAACCAAUAAUCAUAAAUUAAGAUUGACAUAGUUGUGAGCAGGGUACCACACAUGUUUCCCGUUUGCCAACUAUGAGUUGCUAUAUUGGGAGGGUGGUAAUUACAGAGUAUGAGAAGUAAAUAAAGUGUUGCAUGCUCUUAUUUGGCCUGGUCUGUUUAGUUGUAUAGUGUACCAAAAUCACCAUAUAUCAAAAUGUAAUAAUAUGUCACUGUUUCUCACGUGUUCCUGUUUAUUUUGUCGUAAAAUUUCUACUUUUGUUCCCUCGUUUUACAUUUCAUGUGGAUGACAAUUUAGCUCAUCCUAGUAAAGGAGAAUCCAUAAAUACUUGCCCAUCCACUUUUCCUUUCUUUAGUAUUGUUCUUUUCUGCUUUUUGUAUAACAUGAAAAACUUGUGCGCUUAAACUAUAAAGAUGUC